UGGGGAAUAUUGCACAAUGGGCGAAAGCCUGAUGCAGCGACGCCGCGUGAGGGAUGAAUGCCUUCGGGUUGUAAACCUCUUUCAGUAGGGACGAAGCGAAAGUGACGGUACCUGCAGAAGAAGCGCCGGCCAACUACGUGCCAGCAGCCGCGGUAACACGUAGGGCGCAAGCGUUGUCCGGAAUUAGUGGGCGUAAAGAGUUCGUAGGCGGUUUGUCACGUCGGCUGUGAAAUCCCGAGGCUUAACCUCGGGCCUGCAGUCGAUACGGGCAGACUAGAGUGAAGUAGGGGAGACUGGAAUUCCUGGUGUAGCGGUGAAAUGCGCAGAUAUCAGGAAGAACACCGAUGGCGAAGGCAGGUCUCUGGGCUUUAACUGACGCUGAGGAACGAAAGCGUGGGUAGCGAACA
Molecule: ribosomal RNA, 407 nt
Filed under: uncultured Actinomycetales bacterium
Lineage: Bacteria; Bacillati; Actinomycetota; Actinomycetes; Actinomycetales
Description: bacterial SSU rRNA
Rfam family: Bacterial small subunit ribosomal RNA
Source: RNAcentral